This 253-nucleotide ribosomal RNA is filed under the name uncultured bacterium. RNAcentral's name for it is "partial 16S ribosomal RNA". It matches the Rfam family "Bacterial small subunit ribosomal RNA", at positions 524 to 776 of the family's 1533-position model. The record is from RNAcentral.
UACGAAGGGAGCUAGCGUUGUUCGGAAUUACUGGGCGUAAAGCGCACGUAGGCGGAUCGAUCAGUCAGGGGUGAAAUCCCAGAGCUCAACUCUGGAACUGCCUUUGAUACUGUCGAUCUAGAGUAUGGAAGAGGUGAGUGGAAUUCCGAGUGUAGAGGUGAAAUUCGUAGAUAUUCGGAGGAACACCAGUGGCGAAGGCGGCUCACUGGUCCAUUACUGACGCUGAGGUGCGAAAGCGUGGGGAGCAAACAGG